AGUAUGGUACUAAAGUUAUUUUUUGUCUGAAUUGCCGCGGUCACUCUAACAUUCGACGAAAAGUGAAAGUGUACAAAAGUGAAGCAUUUACAUAAGUUGUGUAUUUUUUUUUUGCAAAUGACUGCACUACACCAAGUAAAAUGGCUGUCAAAGAUGCCGAACUGGGCAAGUUGGCGUCCACCACUUCGCUGGAAAACUUCUAUCGAGGACAGAAGAAGGACUUCCUGGCGCUGAUGCAAAGCUGCAGGAGGCAUCCGAGUACAGCGUGAUCGGUCAUUUAUUGCUAAGUCCUGGAAUUAUUUUUAGAAUUGAUCCGAAAUAUAUAAAAAAUAAAUAUUUACAGCGA
This is a non-coding RNA of Drosophila suzukii, 346 nucleotides long. The record is from RefSeq and is a predicted model, not a curated record. NCBI's taxonomy places the organism in Eukaryota, Metazoa, Arthropoda, Insecta, Diptera, Drosophilidae.